GGGCCCGUAGCUCAGUCGGUUAGAGCAGCCGGCUCAUAACCGGUCGGUCCUCGGUUCAAGCCCGAGCGGGCCCA
This 74-nucleotide transfer RNA is filed under the name Myxococcales bacterium. Its description in RNAcentral is "tRNA-Ile". It matches the Rfam family "tRNA". Rfam says of the family: Transfer RNA (tRNA) molecules are approximately 80 nucleotides in length. Their secondary structure includes four short double-helical elements and three loops (D, anti-codon, and T loops). The record is from RNAcentral. Lineage: Bacteria; Pseudomonadati; Myxococcota; Myxococcia; Myxococcales.